Molecule: ribosomal RNA, 113 nt
Filed under: Acanthosepion pharaonis
Lineage: Eukaryota; Metazoa; Mollusca; Cephalopoda; Sepiida; Sepiidae
Source: RNAcentral
UACGGCUAAAUCACGCUGAAACACCGGUUCUCGUUCGAUCACCGAAGUUAAGCAUCGUAGAGCCAGGUCAGUACUUAGAUGGGGGACCGCUUGGGAACACCUGGUACUGUAAG